GCCCAUGAUCGUCAUUUCGUAAGAAUGCAAACGACGUCGUAGCGGCGACGAAUAAUACCUUUCUCCUGGCUCGAUGCGAUCGAUCGCGCUGCGUAUCAGUGCAGUGGCUUGUCCCCUAAGUCGAGCAGUUCCUUUCUCCUUUAUGAUUUAGUAGAAUCAAAGAGCAAACAAAGAACAAAUCGCACCGAAAAAAAGGGCUCCGCGAUAUUAGAAAAGCAGCUAAGAAACUAUCAGAGGGGCUUAAACUGAAAUGGCUCGAUACGAUCGCGCAAUUACGGUGUUCUCUCCGGAUGGACAUUUGUUCCAAGUGGAGUAUGCUCUCGAAGCCGUCCGCAAGGGAAACGCCGCUGUAGGUGUUCGCGGCACUGACGUCGUCGUUCUCGGUGUCGAGAAGAAAUCCACCGCCAAACUUCAAGAUGCUAGAACGGUGAGGAAAAUUGUUUCAUUGGAUGAUCACAUAGCACUAGUAUGUGCUGGGUUGAAAGCAGAUGCUCGUGUUUUGGUCAACAGGGCUCGCAUUGAGUGUCAGAGCCAUAGGCUUACUGUUGAGGACCCUGUAACAGUCGAAUAUAUAACACGUUACAUUGCUGGCCUGCAACAGAAGUAUACACAAAGUGGUGGUGUGAGACCAUUUGGUCUUUCAACCUUAAUUGUUGGUUUUGAUCCCUACACUGGUGUCCCAUCUCUUUAUCAGACAGAUCCAUCUGGAGCAUUUUCAGCCUGGAAAGCCAAUGCUACUGGGAGAAACUCAAAUUCAAUGCGGGAGUUCCUGGAAAAGAAUUAUAAAGAAACUUCAGGGCAAGAAACUGUGAAGUUAGCAAUUCGUGCUUUGCUUGAAGUUGUUGAGAGUGGGGGUAAGAACAUAGAAAUAGCUGUGAUGACAAAAGAGCAUGGCCUGCGACAGCUUGAAGAAGCAGAAAUUGAUGCAAUUGUUGCUGAGAUUGAAGCAGAGAAAGCAGCAGCAGAGGCUGCAAAGAAGGCUCCCCCAAAGGAAACCUAGAUCUUCUAUAGUUCUCAUUUGUUAUCUUGUAUUGAGUGAUUAGCUUCUUCACUGCUACAUUACCAUUUUAUGUUUAACAUUAAUUUCUUUGUCAAAGCAACACCUUAUUUCAGGACUCCACCACUCUUGUGCGUUUCUCUCUCUAUAAUGGCCAUCUUGGUUUGGUAAUUAGUGAUAUGUUUAUAUAUUAAAAUAUGUUGAAUGUUGUUGCUUCAUGUUGGAACAUGAAUGUUCUGGAUUUGAGUUUUUGUCAGUUUAUAGAAUAAGUUCCUAUUCCCUUUUUGGAAA
Molecule: unclassified non-coding RNA, 1288 nt
Filed under: Hevea brasiliensis (rubber tree)
Lineage: Eukaryota; Viridiplantae; Streptophyta; Magnoliopsida; Malpighiales; Euphorbiaceae
Source: RNAcentral